UUAGUUGGGGGUCUCUUUCGGCGGCGGCUGCUGGCUUCAUUGCUGGCGGCUGCUGUUGGGAGAGCUCUAUCAUGGCGAGCGUUUGGGCUUCGGUCUGAACUAGUAGCUUUUUUAAACCCAUUCUUUAUAACUGAUUAUACUGUAGGGACGAAAGUCUCUGCUUUUAACUAGAUAGCAACUUUCAGCAGUGGAUGUCUAGGCUCGCACAUCGAUGAAGAACGCUGCGAACUGCGAUACGUAAUGCGAAUUGCAGGAUUCAGUGAGUCAUCGAAAUUUUGAACGCAUAUUGCACUUCCGGGUUAGUCCUGGGAGUAUGCCUGUAUCAGUGUCCGUACAUCAAACUUGGUUUUCUUCCUUCCGUGUAGUCGGUGGUGGAUGUGCCAGAUGUGAAGUGUCUUGCGGCUGGUCUUCGGAUCGGCUGUGAGUCCUUUGAAAUGUACUGAACUGUACUUCUCUUUGCUCCAAAAGCGUGGCGUUGCUGAUUGUGGAGGCUGCUUGCGUAGCCAGUCUGGCGACCAGUUUGUCUGCUGUGGCGUUAAUGGAGGAGUGUUCGAUUCGCGGUAUGGUUGGCUUCGGCUGAACAGACGCUUACUGAAUAUUUCUUCAGCUGUGGUGGUAUGA
RNAcentral lists this ribosomal RNA (621 nucleotides) under Phytophthora palmivora. RNAcentral describes it as "eukaryotic LSU rRNA". The stretch from base 177 to 331 matches the Rfam family "5.8S ribosomal RNA". The record is from RNAcentral. Lineage: Eukaryota; Oomycota; Peronosporomycetes; Peronosporales; Peronosporaceae.